UGGGAAAAAGGAUUGUCC
This 18-nucleotide non-coding RNA is filed under the name Mus musculus (house mouse). Lineage: Eukaryota; Metazoa; Chordata; Mammalia; Rodentia; Muridae. The record is from RNAcentral.